GACGAACGCUGGCGGCGUGCUUAACACAUGCAAGUCGAACGGAAAGGCCCUGCUUUUGUGGGUUGCUCGUUUGGCGAACGGGUGAGUAACACGUGAGUAUCCUGCCCUUGACUUUGGGAUAACUUCAGGAAACUGGGGCUAAUACCGGAUAUGAUCUCCUGCUGCAUGGUGGUGGUUGGUAAGUUUCGGCGGUUGGGGAUGGACUCGCGGCUUAUCAGCUUGUUGGUGUGGUAGUGGCUUACCAAGGCUUUGACGGGUAGCCGGCCUGAGAGGGUGACCGGCCACAUUGGGACUGAGAUACGGCACAGAAUCCUACGGGAGGCAGCAGUGGGGAAUAUUGCACAAUGGGCGGAAGCAUGAUGCAGAAACGCGGCGUGCGGGAUGACGGCCUUCGGGUUGUAAACCGAUUUCGCAUGUGACGAAGAGUGAGUGACGGUAAUGGGUAAAGAAGCACCGGCUAACUACGUG
Molecule: ribosomal RNA, 468 nt
Filed under: uncultured bacterium
Lineage: Bacteria
Description: partial 16S ribosomal RNA
Rfam family: Bacterial small subunit ribosomal RNA
Source: RNAcentral